UACGUAGGGUGCAAGCGUUGUCCGGAUUUAUUGGGCGUAAAGAGCGUGUAGGCGGCCAGGUAGGUCCGCUGUGAAAACUCGAGGCUCAACCUCGAGAUGUCGGCGGAAACCAUCUGGCUAGAGUCCGGAAGAGGAGAGUGGAAUUCCUGGUGUAGCGGUGAAAUGCGCAGAUAUCGGGAGGAACACCAGUGGCGAAGGCGGCUUCCUGGCCUGUUCUUGACGCUGAGGCGCGAAAGCUAGGGGAGCAAACGGG
RNAcentral lists this ribosomal RNA (253 nucleotides) under uncultured bacterium. Its description in RNAcentral is "partial 16S ribosomal RNA". It matches the Rfam family "Bacterial small subunit ribosomal RNA", at positions 524 to 776 of the family's 1533-position model. The record is from RNAcentral.